UGGGGAAUAUUGCACAAUGGGCGCAAGCCUGAUGCAGCCAUGCCGCGUGUGUGAAGAAGGCCUCCGGGUUGUAAAGCACUUUCAGCGAGGAGGAAGGUGGUGAGCUUAAUACGCUCAUCAAUUGACGUUACUCGCAGAAGAAGCACCGGCUAACUCCGUGCCAGCAGCCGCGGUAAUACGGAGGGUGCAAGCGUUAAUCGGAAUUACUGGGCGUAAAGCGCACGCAGGCGGUUUGUUAAGUCAGAUGUGAAAUCCCCGGGCUCAACCUGGGAACUGCAUUUGAAACUGGCAAGCUAGAGUCUCGUAGAGGGGGGUAGAAUUCCAGGUGUAGCGGUGAAAUGCGUAGAGAUCUGGAGGAAUACCGGUGGCGAAGGCGGCCCCCUGGACGAAGACUGACGCUCAGGUGCGAAAGCGUGGGGCAGCAAACAGGAUUAGAUACCCUGGUAGUCCACGCUGUAAACGAUGUCGAUUUUGGAGGUUGUGCCCUUGAGGCGUGGCUUCCGGAGCUAACGCGUUAAAGUCGACCGCCU
This 530-nucleotide ribosomal RNA is filed under the name uncultured bacterium. RNAcentral's name for it is "partial 16S ribosomal RNA". It matches the Rfam family "Bacterial small subunit ribosomal RNA", at positions 355 to 874 of the family's 1533-position model. The record is from RNAcentral.